RNAcentral lists this ribosomal RNA (407 nucleotides) under uncultured bacterium. RNAcentral's name for it is "partial 16S ribosomal RNA". It matches the Rfam family "Bacterial small subunit ribosomal RNA", at positions 28 to 526 of the family's 1533-position model. The record is from RNAcentral.
GACGAACGCUGGCGGCGUGCCUAAUACAUGCAAGUAGGCCGCAGUUGCGAACGAGUGAGUAACGCGUAGGUAACUACAUAUUAGAGGGGGAUAACUAUUGGAAUCGAUAGCUAAUACCGCAUACUAGUAGAUGGACCUGCGUUGUAUUAGCUAGUAGGUAGGGUCAUGGCCUACCUAGGCAACGAUACAUAGCCGACCUGCGAGAGUGAUCGGCCACCCUGGGACGGAGAUACGGCUCAGACUCCUACCGGAGGCAGCAGUAGGGAAACCUCGGCAAUGGGGGUCACCCUGACCGAGCAACGCCGCGUGAGGGAAGAGGGUUUUCGGAUCGUUAAACUCUGUUCUUACUGAAGCGGUACUUAACCAGUAAGGUACGGAUAACUACUUGCCAGCAGCCGCGGUAAUUC